This 77-nucleotide transfer RNA is filed under the name Inconstantimicrobium porci. RNAcentral's name for it is "tRNA-Arg". It matches the Rfam family "tRNA". Rfam says of the family: Transfer RNA (tRNA) molecules are approximately 80 nucleotides in length. Lineage: Bacteria; Bacillati; Bacillota; Clostridia; Eubacteriales; Clostridiaceae. The record is from RNAcentral.
GCACCUAUAGCUCAGCUGGAUAGAGUGGUGGACUUCGAAUCCAACGGUCGCAGGUUCGAAUCCUGUUAGGUGCACCA